UUGUGUUUGCUUUAAGAAAAAAUAAACUUGUGAUUAAAGUUUAACAUGUAUACGAUUUUUUCCUGGGCCACCUUAUCAAUUUUUUUUCAAUGUUAAGUGUACAUGUGUCAAUCAAAUGUGCAGUUCUCCAUUCCUGUGAACUGACCAAAACAUGGAAGUAUCAAUAGUGUUUGCACUAGUUAUGUUGUCAACGUACUCACUUCUGAUUACUAUUGUUUUAAUUUUCAUAGUAUUUCGAAAAAAAAACAAAAAUGUACACCAUUCUUCGACAAACAAAGAAAGCAAGUACAAAACUUUAGAUAAAGAACGGUUUCUUAAAGUCCUCUCGGAUAUACUGGCAAACGCAUAUGAACAUGCAUCUCAGCAAAAGCCUAUAAACAACACUCGAGACUUCUUCUUCAGGCAACUUUCUACAGUCGUCGAUAACAGUGAAUUAUAUAACUGUCCAGAGGAAAAAAAUUGUCAGCAUGGGGGAAAAAACACAGAUUCAUUUAUCUAUUCAAAUCCUGAUGAAUACGAUUAUGUGGCACUGAGAGAUACAAAUUUUAAUGGCAGUAAAGAUAAAAAUAUAAUCCCGGCAAAGUCUACAAGAACUUCUUUUGGGUCAAAAGAUCAUUUGGAGUUUUUUAAUUUGUAUGAAAAUAUAACUCCGAAUUCUAAAACUGACACUAAUACUUAUCUAGAACCCAAACAGUUUUCCCCAAAACAUGAUUGUCCGUCAGAUCUUCGUAACUUGUGUCACACAAACAAGUAAUUUUUUGGGGCAUGUGCUAUUUUUAUUAAAUUAACUUUUAAUGUGUUUAGAUGUGGCUUCAAAUGUAUUACACUAGGUCCUGUUUCUAAGGUUUUUUGGCAUUUUACGAUUUGUAAAAGCAGUAAAGCGGUAGUUUGAAGUCAUAACUCAUAGGAAUUAUAAGAAUUGACUUGUUUUAUAUUAAUGUUGAAAGUGUGUUCAGAACUGUUGUUCCCCGAAUGUACGAUUUAGGUAAUACAUUUUCGCAUACAAUACUGGAGAGCAAAACUCUACAAUAAAAUCCCCGAUUGCUGGAAGAAAACAAGAUUAAAGGAAUUGGAGAAUACACUGAAUACAUUUUUAUUAACCAUAGUACUAUAUACUUACGGUAGAAGACUUCCUGUAUAGUGAAAUUUAAUAGAGGUGUUUUAGUUUAUUUUUAAUAUUAUUUUAAUUUGCGUGUGAAUUGUAGUUAAUACAUACAUUUUGUGUAAUUUGUGACGUUGCCGUGUAACAGAAUUGAUGGCGAAAUAUAUUAUUAUUAUUAUUAAUA
Zophobas morio is the source of this 1286-nucleotide long non-coding RNA. RefSeq lists it as uncharacterized. The transcript has 2 exons. NCBI's taxonomy places the organism in Eukaryota, Metazoa, Arthropoda, Insecta, Coleoptera, Tenebrionidae. The record is from RefSeq and is a predicted model, not a curated record.